RNAcentral lists this long non-coding RNA (585 nucleotides) under Pogona vitticeps (central bearded dragon). RNAcentral's name for it is "lncRNA (ENSPVIG00000006966.1)". The record is from RNAcentral. Lineage: Eukaryota; Metazoa; Chordata; Lepidosauria; Squamata; Agamidae.
CACCCUUCAUUCAUGAAACUUUUUGGGUUAGAAGGGGGGGAAACCUAGAUCUACGAAAGAGGAUAGAGGAGCUCCUCCCUUUUUCUAGCCUUUUUUUUUUCUAAAAAGGAACCGGAAGUGGCGAGAGGGCGCGUCCGGUCUCUUCCCGACUCUGUGGUCUCCGGGGAAGGCGCUUGCAAGGGGGUCUCCUCGGGAGUUUCCGGCAUCAGGACCUGCAAGGAGAAGUGCUCUCUGAGAUUGCCAGUUCCCCUUUCUGAAUUGGGAGUGUGUCUCUUCAUCUGCUGGUGUUCUUUCAGGAGUUGACUUCGUAUUUCCUCAGUGGAAAAUGGGAUCUUCUGCAUCCAGGCUAGAGGGUUCCACACGCUGAUGUCCUACUUGAGAUUUCUGGGAACAAGAAGGUCUCUCCAGGUAACUGGAACCAGAAUUCUAUGUGGCCAGUUCUUCUGUCACCAGAAAAUAACCAUAUGGGAAGAAGGAAAAAGAAGGAAGGAGAUACUGAAAAGGUGAAAAAAGGCAGAAGGGAAGAGAUAAAACAAGAGGGAAACGAAAAUUUCUAGCUUCUCCUGAGUCUGAGGCUUAACAUCU